RNAcentral lists this ribosomal RNA (441 nucleotides) under uncultured bacterium. RNAcentral describes it as "partial 16S ribosomal RNA". It matches the Rfam family "Bacterial small subunit ribosomal RNA", at positions 338 to 795 of the family's 1533-position model. The record is from RNAcentral.
CCUACGGGUGGCAGCAGUGGGGGAUAUUGCACAAUGGGGGGAACCCUGAUGCAGCGACGCCGCGUGGGUGAAGGAGUUCUUCUGCAUGUAAAGCCCUAUCGGCAGGGAAGAAGCAAGACGGUACCUUACUAAUAAGCCCCGGCUAACUACGUGCCAGCAGCCGCGGUAAUACGUAGGGGGCGAGCGUUAUCCGGAUUCACUGGGUGUAAAGGGAUCGUAUACGGCGAUGCAAUCCAUGGGUGAAAGCCCGGGUCCCAACCCCGGGACUGCCCUUGGAACUGCAUGGCUGGAGUGCGGGAGGGGCAGGCGGAAUGCAUGGGGUAGCGGUGAAAUGCGUAGAUAUCAGGAGGAACACCGGCGGCGAAGGCGGCCUGCUGGACCGCGACUGACGUUGAGGCUCGAAAGCGUGGGGAGCGAACAGGAUUAGAUACCCCAGUAGUC